AACGAACGCUGGCGGCGUGCCUAACACAUGCAAGUCGAACGAGAAAGGGGCUUCGGCUCCGAGUAAAGUGGCGCACGGGUGAGUAACACGUGGGUAACCUGCCUCUAAGAUUGGGAUAACUCGUCGAAAGAUGAGCUAAUACCGAAUAAGACCACAGUUCCCGCGGGAACAGGGGUCAAAGGUAGCCUCUGCUUGCGAGCUAUCACUUAGAGAUGGGCCUGCGCACCAUUAGCUAGUUGGUAGGGUAACGGCCUACCAAGGCAAAGAUGGUUAGCUGGUCUGAGAGGAUGAUCAGCCACACUGGAACUGAGACACGGUCCAGACUCCUACGGGAGGCAGCAGUGGGGAAUAUUGCGCAAUGGGCGAAAGCUUGACGCAGCAACGCCGCGUGAGUGAUGAAGGCCUUCGGGUCGUAAAGCUCUGUCGGGAGGAACGAAUGCUCCUGAGGUUAACAGCCUCGGGAGGUGACGGUACCUUCAAAGGAAGCACCGGCUAACUCUGUG
Molecule: ribosomal RNA, 503 nt
Filed under: uncultured bacterium
Lineage: Bacteria
Description: partial 16S ribosomal RNA
Rfam family: Bacterial small subunit ribosomal RNA
Source: RNAcentral